RNAcentral lists this ribosomal RNA (367 nucleotides) under uncultured organism. RNAcentral's name for it is "bacterial LSU rRNA". It matches the Rfam family "Bacterial large subunit ribosomal RNA", at positions 2099 to 2465 of the family's 2925-position model. The record is from RNAcentral.
CUUUACUGUAGCCUGGAAUUGGGUUCGGGCUUGGCCUGCGCAGAAUAGGUGGGAGGCAUUGAAGUACCCCUCGUGGGGGGUAUGGAGCCAUCGGUGAGAUACCACUCUGGCCAAGCUAGAAUUCUAACCUUAACCCAUUAUCUGGGUAAGGAACCGUUUCAGGCGGGCAGUUUGACUGGGGCGGUCGCCUCCUAAAUGGUAACGGAGGCGCGCAAAGGUUCUCUCAGGCUGGUUGGAAAUCAGCCGUAGAGUGUAAAGGCAUAAGAGAGCUUGACUGCAAGACAAACAAGUCGAGCAGGGACGAAAGUCGGCCUUAGUGAUCCGACGGUUCCGAGUGGAAGGGCCGUCGCUCAACGGAUAAAAGUUA